CAGUGUGGAGCUGGAGGUACACACCGGGUCAGGCAGCGUGACAACAGCAGGAAAGCCGGCGUUUCGGGCCUAGACCCGUCAUCAACGUUAACUCUGACUUCUCUCUCUACACAUUUUUCCAUCGGUUUGUUUAGUCUUGUUAGGGAUAGCCCUGAUUACCUGACCGCAGUCAGCAGCCGGCAGUAGAAGGCGGCGUGUGCACAGGCGCAGACGGUCAGGGACCAUGUCCGGAUCCUAAGUUUAAGCCUCGAUAUUGUCCAGAUCUUGUUGUAUUCGAACAUGUACUGAAGCAGUCCAUGACUGGUUGUGAAUGGUACUGAACAUUGUGUAGUCAUCGAUUAACAUCCGCACUUCUGACCUGAUGAUGGAAGGAAGGUCAUUGAUGAAGCAGCUGAAGAUGGUUGGGCCUGGAACACUACCCUGAGGAACUCCUGCAGCGAUGUCCUGGAAGUGGGAUAUCUGACCUCCAACAACCACAACCAUCUUCCUAUGUUUGAGAUUGUGGAUGUUACUGGCUGUGCCUGAACCCAUCCCUGGAUGCCCUCAAAAAGCUGAUGGAUGAGAGUGUCGCUGGCGAGGCAGCAUUUAUUGCCCAUCCCUAAUUGACCAGAGGGCAGCAGUUAAGAGUCAACCACAUGGCUCUGGGUCUGGAGUUACACGUAGGCCAGACCAUGUAAGGAUGGCAGUUUCCUUCCCUAAAAGGCAUGAGUGAACCAGGGUUUUUUAAUUGAAAGACAAGCACACAACCAGAAUGGCUCCGCUGAAGACCACCAGCAGGUCACCCUUAGACUGUCCUUCUCUAAAGAGCCCAAGCAAAAGACGAUAAGCUGAAGGAGCAGACGUAGACUAUUAGGACAAGUGAGUCUGCUCGAAGAUUCAGUCAGCUCAUGACUGAAAUCCUCAACUCUACUUUCCCAUCUUUUUCGCAUUGCUCUUGAUUCCCUUCAUGAUUAAAGCUCUAUCUUUCUCAGCCGUGAA
Stegostoma tigrinum is the source of this 978-nucleotide long non-coding RNA. RefSeq lists it as uncharacterized. The transcript has 5 exons. The record is from RefSeq and is a predicted model, not a curated record. Lineage: Eukaryota; Metazoa; Chordata; Chondrichthyes; Orectolobiformes; Stegostomatidae.